GCAUGGGAAUCUGCCCGAUAGUGGGGGACAACCUGGGGAAACUCAGGCUAAUACCGCAUACGUCCUACGGGAGAAAGCAGGGGAUCUUCGGACCUUGCGCUAUCGGAUGAGCCCAUGUCGGAUUAGCUUGUUGGUGAGGUAAUGGCUCACCAAGGCGACGAUCCGUAGCUGGUCUGAGAGGAUGAUCAGCCACACUGGGACUGAGACACGGCCCAGACUCCUACGGGAGGCAGCAGUGGGGAAUAUUGGACAAUGGGCGAAAGCCUGAUCCAGCCAUGCCGCGUGUGUGAAGAAGGCCUU
Molecule: ribosomal RNA, 300 nt
Filed under: uncultured Halomonadaceae bacterium
Lineage: Bacteria; Pseudomonadati; Pseudomonadota; Gammaproteobacteria; Oceanospirillales; Halomonadaceae
Description: bacterial SSU rRNA
Rfam family: Bacterial small subunit ribosomal RNA
Source: RNAcentral